AGAGUGAACGCUGGCGGCAGGCCUAAUACAUGCAAGUCGAACGGCAGCACGGCAGAGCUUGCUCUGCGGGUGGCGAGUGGCGGACGGGUGAGGAAUACAUGGGAAUCUGCCCAGUCGUGGGGGAUAACGUAGGGAAACUUACGCUAAUACCGCAUGCGCCCGUUCGGGGGAAACGCCGGGGACCUUCGGGCCUGGCGCGAUUGGAUGACGCCCAUGUCGGAUUAGCUAGUUGGCGGGGUACGCCCAC
RNAcentral lists this ribosomal RNA (247 nucleotides) under uncultured soil bacterium. Its description in RNAcentral is "partial 16S ribosomal RNA". It matches the Rfam family "Bacterial small subunit ribosomal RNA", at positions 26 to 268 of the family's 1533-position model. The record is from RNAcentral.